CCGAGUGCGGGCCCUCUGGGUCCAACCUCCCACCCGUGUUUAUCGUACCUUGUUGCUUCGGCGGGCCCGCCGUCCCUGGCCGCCGGGGGGCUCCUGCCCCCGGGCCCGCGCCCGCCGAAGACACCAUCGAACGCUGUCUGAAGAUUGCAGUCUGAGCUUAUUAGCUAAAUCGGUUA
RNAcentral lists this unclassified non-coding RNA (176 nucleotides) under uncultured fungus. Its description in RNAcentral is "sequence contains ITS1, 5.8S rRNA gene". The record is from RNAcentral. RNAcentral also lists the same sequence under 1 other name. Lineage: Eukaryota; Fungi.